GCCGGGCGCGGUGGCUCACGCCUGUAAUCCCAGCACUUUGGGAGGCCGAGGCGGGCGGAUCACGAGGUCAGGAGAUGGAAACCAUCCUGGCUAACACGGUGAAACUCCAUCUNNNNNNNNNNCGCCCCCCACCUCGCCUGGCUUAAUUUUUUGUAUUUUUUUUUUUUUUAAGUUAGAGAUGGAGUUUCACCGUGUUAGCCAGGAUGGUUUCCAUCUCCUGACCUCGUGAUCCGCCCGCCUCGG
This 243-nucleotide signal recognition particle RNA is filed under the name Chlorocebus sabaeus (green monkey). RNAcentral's name for it is "Metazoan signal recognition particle RNA". It matches the Rfam family "Metazoan signal recognition particle RNA". From Rfam's summary of the family: The signal recognition particle (SRP) is a universally conserved ribonucleoprotein. It is involved in the co-translational targeting of proteins to membranes. The eukaryotic SRP consists of a 300-nucleotide 7S RNA and six proteins: SRPs 72, 68, 54, 19, 14, and 9. Lineage: Eukaryota; Metazoa; Chordata; Mammalia; Primates; Cercopithecidae. The record is from Rfam by way of RNAcentral.